Molecule: long non-coding RNA, 287 nt
Filed under: Medicago truncatula (barrel medic)
Lineage: Eukaryota; Viridiplantae; Streptophyta; Magnoliopsida; Fabales; Fabaceae
Description: long non-coding RNA (MTRU_LNC003242)
Source: RNAcentral
CCGCACAACGUUUCCGCGGCAAAGAUGCUGUAACAAACUUUAAACCACUCUCUGACCACAACAACGAUGACAUGGAACUCGAGUUUCUCAACUCGCAUUCCAAGUCAGAGAUUGUGGACAUGUUAAGAAAACAUACAUACAAUGACGAACUGGAACAGAGCAAGCGCAGUCAUGGCUUCGUCAGCAGACGAAGCCAUGGCUGUUCUGACUCUGUUAACUUUGCCAGCUCGGCAUACAAUACCGAUAAAAAGGCACGUGAAGCUCUGUUCGAAAAGGUUGUUACCCCG